UACGGAGGGUGCAAGCGUUAAUCGGAAUUACUGGGCGUAAAGGGUGCGUAGGCGGUUGCUUAAGUCUGUUGUGAAAUCCCCGGGCUCAACCUGGGAAUGGCAAUGGAUACUGGGCAGCUAGAGUGUGUCAGAGGAUGGUGGAAUUCCCGGUGUAGCGGUGAAAUGCGUAGAGAUCGGGAGGAACAUCAGUGGCGAAGGCGGCCAUCUGGGACAACACUGACGCUGAAGCACGAAAGCGUGGGGAGCAAACAGG
RNAcentral lists this ribosomal RNA (253 nucleotides) under uncultured bacterium. RNAcentral describes it as "partial 16S ribosomal RNA". It matches the Rfam family "Bacterial small subunit ribosomal RNA", at positions 524 to 776 of the family's 1533-position model. The record is from RNAcentral.